This 1399-nucleotide long non-coding RNA is filed under the name Triticum aestivum (bread wheat). RNAcentral describes it as "long non-coding RNA (TAES_LNC026473)". Lineage: Eukaryota; Viridiplantae; Streptophyta; Magnoliopsida; Poales; Poaceae. The record is from RNAcentral.
CGCCAUCCAUGGCUCCUCCGCUAUUGGUCCCAUCUCCGUUCUGGACAUCACCCUGCGACACCAACGCUUGGCGUGCUCCUCCACCAUGGCCCUGCUCGGACCACGCAUCCAUCGACGCCACCGUUGAGAAUCCACCCCAACUCGAGCAGUUCACUGGCGUCAUGGAGGUACGUGACCUAAAUCUCAAAACUCAGGUUGUUUCCUGUUUCUGGCAUCUCCAGAUCCCCAAAUCUGGUGCAGCUCUAGGAAUCCCCAAAUCCGGCCUCAGAUCUGAUCUAUAGACUGUGGUUUGGAUGCAUAAUAAUCCCCAAAACUGGUGCAGCUCCUUGGAUCCCAAAUCUCUUUCUGGAUUUCAGCUAUGUCUUUGAGGAAAUUGCAACCAUUUUUUUCUGCCUUAUUACUUAAAUUAGUUUGGAGGCAGCAGCAUGUAUCCACAGGAUCUGAAAUUUUACUAAGAAUGGUUGGGAUACUUGAGGUGUACCCGGGGAGUUUCAAUUAGUUGUCAUACUUUUAGUACGAAUGGGUUUGGAUACAACUGUACGUAUCCAAAAUGCAUGUAAUGUUGUUUCAGACUAGAUGAUAAUUUUCUUUCUAUUUCAGUGGGAUUUUUUCAUUGACGUACUGUAGAACACCAUAAUAAUUCAAUCUCUAUUUUUUUCUGUCCAUGCAUUUUGAUUUUACCUACUUCAAAUAUGUUGACAUUCAGGAAGCACUGAGCAGCUGCAUUGCAAAUAUGAGGAACAUCGUCAGUGCAAGAAGUUCAGGUUCACUCAAGGGCAAGAAAUAGUCUCAUAAUUUUGUUCCAAAUAGUAUGUACCAUUCCCCACUUUGAUACUUAUGAACACCCAUUUGAGAUCUCCCUUUCCUACUUGCAGUUCAUCCAGAUCAAUAGUAGGAUUAAAGGUUCAUGAUCCAACUAUAAGAGAGGUGUAAUAUCCUCUGCCCUUGACAUGGUAUGGUACAUUCUGUUAUUUCCCUACCUGUCUCCAAAUUCAUGUAUUUAUUAAUUUCGAUUCAAGUUUUCUAGCUUGCAAGAUCAUGCUAUCUUCAAUAUACUCAAGAACAAUCUGAAAAUGCACCUAGACAUUGUAUUUCAGAGUAUUGACAAUGAAACUGUACCAGGAAAGGCCUAUUACCAGCAGCUAUGCUCAACAUAUGAACGCUUUGUUAUAACAAUUAACAAGACAGAUAUGUUGAGGGGCUCCUAUCAUGGGCCAUACUAUAUGUCAUCUUAAUUUAGUUACUCCUUUUACUACUCGCUUCUUGGAAUUUCCUAUUCUCUUAUUAUCUAGUACUUAACAGUUCUUGUGUAUUCCUCAUAUUUAAGCUCACCGUGUUCUUCCUUCUCCCUUAAGUUGUAUUUUGUUUUCUUUCUUAUAUUAAAGAUUGAACAAUUGCA